CAUAACCUUAACUACCCCU
RNAcentral lists this unclassified non-coding RNA (19 nucleotides) under Mus musculus (house mouse). RNAcentral's name for it is "oocyte_clustered_small_RNA4254". Lineage: Eukaryota; Metazoa; Chordata; Mammalia; Rodentia; Muridae. The record is from RNAcentral.